CCCCGUGCCCAUAGCGGCGUGGUUCCACCCGUUCCCAUUCCGAACACGGUCGUGAAACGCGCCUGCGCCGAUGGUACUUGGACCGGAGGGUCCUGGGAGAGUAGGGCGGUGCGGGGG
Ribosomal RNA from Marinithermus hydrothermalis DSM 14884, 117 nucleotides. NCBI's taxonomy places the organism in Bacteria, Thermotogati, Deinococcota, Deinococci, Thermales, Thermaceae. The record is from Rfam.